UAAGGAAUAUUGGACAAUGGAGGCAACUCUGAUCCAGCCAUGCCGCGUGAAGGAAUAAGGCCCUAUGGGUUGUAAACUUCUUUUAGACGGGACAAAACCCCUUUACGUGUAAAGGGUUGAUGGUACUGUCAGAAUAAGCAUCGGCUAACUUCGUGCCAGCAGCCGCGGUAAUACGAAGGAUGCAAGCGUUAUCCGGAAUUAUUGGGUUUAAAGGGUGCGUAGGCGGACUAAUAAGUCAGUGGUGAAAGCCUGCAGCUUAACUGCAGAAUUGCCAUUGAUACUGUUAGUCUUGAGUACAGUUGAGGUAGGCGGAAUGUGUCAUGUAGCGGUGAAAUGCUUAGAUAUGACACAGAACACCGAUUGCGAAGGCAGCUUGCUAAGCUGUAACUGACGCUGAGGCACGAAAGCGUGGGGAG
This 416-nucleotide ribosomal RNA is filed under the name uncultured bacterium. RNAcentral describes it as "bacterial SSU rRNA". It matches the Rfam family "Bacterial small subunit ribosomal RNA", at positions 355 to 768 of the family's 1533-position model. The record is from RNAcentral.